RNAcentral lists this ribosomal RNA (253 nucleotides) under uncultured bacterium. RNAcentral's name for it is "partial 16S ribosomal RNA". It matches the Rfam family "Bacterial small subunit ribosomal RNA", at positions 524 to 776 of the family's 1533-position model. The record is from RNAcentral.
UACAGAGGUCCCAAGCGUUGUUCGGAUUCAUUGGGCGUAAAGGGUGCGUAGGCGGCGCGGUAAGUCGGGUGUGAAAUCUCGGGGCUUAACUCCGAAACUGCAUUCGAUACUGCCGUGCUUGAGGACUGGAGAGGAGACUGGAAUUUACGGUGUAGCGGUGAAAUGCGUAGAUAUCGUAAGGAAGACCAGUGGCGAAGGCGGGUCUCUGGACAGUUCCUGACGCUGAGGCGCGAAGGCCAGGGGAGCAAACGGG